Molecule: long non-coding RNA, 1436 nt
Filed under: Homo sapiens (human)
Lineage: Eukaryota; Metazoa; Chordata; Mammalia; Primates; Hominidae
Description: non-protein coding LY6E-DT:32
Source: RNAcentral
GGCUCCUUGGGAUAGAUGGGGAAGCUGAGGCCCAGAAGGGGGCUGAGACCACCUCCCAGUUUCCCCAGUGAGGUGGCGCCUGAGCCACGGCCAGGCCCGGCCUCCUUCCACCCGGCCCUGCUGUGCGCGCGGCGGGUGCUGACCUGGCGAGGCCGGACAGGGGACCAGGUCGGGGUGACCGUCACUGACACCUGGACAGUCCUCGUUGUGUUCGGGGUGGGAAGCCCACGGGGAAGAGUGUAUCACAGCCAUUGGGAACUUUCUUCACCCAUCAAAGCCUCAGGGCUGAAGCAUCCUGAACAAGAACUCAGGAGAGUGAAAGAAACAGUUACCUGUCGGCUGCAGCUGGUACCAGCUCCCCACCCCGUACAGAGACCGAAGCGUCCUCUCUCUCCCCAUCACCCAGCACCAGACUCUGCCCCGCGACCUCAGCCUGCACCUGCUUCCUGGCUCCAUCCAGCCUUCCAGCCUCACUAGAUCAUCAUGGGCCACUGGCCAACACACAGGGCAGUGCCGAGCCCAGGCCGUGGUCACACAUGGCUGGGUUAGUAGCUGAAAACAUUGUUUUUCACUGGCCUCACAGUAAUGGCACCUGCCCCCAUUUUCUGUGAUUGAAUUUUUGGAUCCUGCUACCAGGUUAUGAUAGAUUUUAUGGUAUGUCUCAAGAUAUUGAGAUAAAGGUAAUAAAACAGCUAUAAAGUCCUGGCUCAAGAAGUGUUACAAACCCAAGCAGGGUAAAUACAAGAAAACUGCACCCAGACACAACAUAGUAAAAUUGCUGAAAACCAAAGAUGAAUAGAACACUUAACAGUUGGAGGAAAAAAGCCACAUUACCUUCAUAAGGACACCAAUCACACUAACAUCUGACUUCGAAAUAGAAAUAUAAAAGCCAAACUACAAGGGAAUGUGAUCUUCAAAAUAUUGAAAGAAUUUAAUUGUUAAGUGAAAUAAUUAACUGCCAACCUAAAUUCUAUUCCUAGUGGAAAUACUCUCCAAGAAUAAAGGUGAAAUAAAUACAGACUCACACAAGAGAAAUCAAGAGCGUUCUUCCUCAGGAGACAUGAGCUGAUUGGUAUAGAAGAGGUGUUUGAAACGUCCUUAGAGGGAGGGCUAGAGACACAGGGAGGAGAAACCUUCAGAACACACCUUCCAUUGAGGGCCAAAAAAGUCAACUAUCGAUUCUUUGAAAGUGCCCCAAACUCGUAAAUCUCUGGUGAUGCUGACCAAAAAAACAAUGAAGGAAGGCACCCUGUGAUGGGGAAGGAAAAGGGGAGAUUGCUGGAGAUCUGUGGAUAUUAAAAAUAGGCACAUAUACACUAUGGAAUACUAUGCAGCCAUAAAAAAGGAUGAGUUCAUGUCCUUUGUAGUGACAUGGAUGAAGCUGAAAACCAUCAUUCUGAGCAAACUUUCGCAAGGACAGAAAACCAAACACUGCA